Molecule: ribosomal RNA, 676 nt
Filed under: uncultured bacterium
Lineage: Bacteria
Description: bacterial SSU rRNA
Rfam family: Bacterial small subunit ribosomal RNA
Source: RNAcentral
GAAACGAACGCUAAUACCGCAUAAUGUCAGAGGACGGCAUCGUCUUUUGACCAAAGAUUUAUCGCUGAAAGAUGGGCUCGCGGCCGAUUAGGUAGUUGGUGAGAUAAUAGCCCACCAAGCCGACGAUCGGUAGCCGGACUGAGAGGUUGAACGGCCACAUUGGGACUGAGACACGGCCCAGACUCCUACGGGAGGCAGCAGUGGGGGAUAUUGCACAAUGGGGGAAACCCUGAUGCAGCGACGCCGCGUGAGGGAAGACGGCCUUCGGGUUGUAAACCUCUGUCUUCGGGGACGAAUAAUGACGGUACCCGAGGAGGAAGCCACGGCUAACUACGUGCCAGCAGCCGCGGUAAUACGUAGGUGGCAAGCGUUGUCCGGAAUUACUGGGUGUAAAGGGAGCGUAGGCGGGGAGGCAAGUUGAAUGUCUAAACUAUCGGCUCAACUGGUAGUCGCGUUCAAAACUGCCACUCUUGAGUGCAGUAGAGGUAGGCGGAAUUCCUAGUGUAGCGGUGAAACGCGUAGAUAUUAGGAGGAACACCAGUGGCGAAGGCGGCCUACUGGGCUGUAACUGACGCUGAGGCUCGAAAGCGUGGGUAGCAAACAGGAUUAGAUACCCUGGUAGUCCACGCCGUAAACGAUAAUUGGUAGGUGUGGGGGGACUGACCCCUUCCGUGCC